Long non-coding RNA from Engraulis encrasicolus (European anchovy), 2018 nucleotides. RefSeq lists it as uncharacterized. NCBI's taxonomy places the organism in Eukaryota, Metazoa, Chordata, Actinopteri, Clupeiformes, Engraulidae. The record is from RefSeq and is a predicted model, not a curated record. The transcript is spliced from 5 exons.
GCUCCGGUCUCCACUGCCAACAGUGGCAGCGGUCCAAGAACUGUUGAACGAAGGGUGCUUCGGUCGUCUGGGAAGGCUGGUUAGGGUAGUUUCAUGGACAUGGAAACCGGCUGAGGGAUUCCUGAGUGUCGGGAGGGGAAUGGGGGCAGUGCCACGCCUGGCCUCAGAGGGGAGGUGGGACAACCAGGACCUCACAGACCCACAGACAGGGUUGGCUGCAGCAGCGUACGCAUGUACACCAGACCUCAGAAGGGAGGUGGGACAGCCAUGAUCUCCUGGAUGCACAGGAGAGAGGGGACUUCAGGGCUUCGUCGGGAGUGUAGGCAACACUGGACCACAGGAGCCAGGCGAAUCACCAGGCCCUGCAGGUGAUCAAGGGCCUAAGGGCGCACAGGGAGCCAAAGGGGUCGAAGGAGAAGAGGGACCCGCAGGACAACAGGAGAGCCAGAGGAGAGGGGAAACGGUGGAUUCCCAGGCGCUCAAGGACCCAGUGGACAGAGGAUGUUCUACACUGGAGCUGGAAUGAACCCUGUCAGAUCCUUCGUCCUGCUUCUUGAACCACUGGGUAAGAAAAAUAUGUACAAAUUAUGCAUAAAAAACAUGCUCAUAGUCUCGCAUUGUUUGUAAACUACUUUCAAUUCAGAUAUAAUAGAUGUAAUAGUGUUGCAUUGUUUUGGUCUUUUAUAGAAUGUGCAAUGCACUGCAUGUAUUUCUCAGCUGCUCACAUGUAACUAUAAUAUGGUUUCUGUUCUUCCCUCCUCGUGCCUGCUCCCGUCCGUGUGUCCGUGCGUUCGUUCCUACCUGCGUGCGUCCGUGUCUCCGUCCAGCCGGCUGUGCGUGCUUCCGACUGUGCGUCCGUGCCUACGUCUGGCUGGCCGUGCGUUCGUCUGUGCCCACGUCCGUGCCUCCGUCUGGCCGGCUGUGCGUCCGUCCGUGCGUCAGUCGAUCUGUAUGUCCGUGCCUAGGUCUGGCCGGCCGUGCGUCCGUCUGUGCCCACGUCUGUGCCACCGUCUGGCCGGCCGUGCGUCCGUCUGUGCCCACGUCCGUGCCUCCGUCUGGCCGGCUGUGCGUCCGUCCGUGCGUCAGUCGAUCUGUGCGUCCGUGCCUACGUCUGGCCGGCCGUGCGUCCGUCUGUGCCCACGUCCGUGCCACCGUCUGGCCGGCCGUGCGUCCGUCUGUGCGUCCGUGCCUACGUUUGGCCGGACGUGCUUCUGUCUGUGCCCACGUCCGUGCCUCCGUCUGGCCGGCUGUGCGUGCGUCCGUCCGUCCGUCCGUCCGUCCGUGCGUCAGUCCGUCCGUGCGUCAGUCCGUCUGUGCGUCCGUGUCUACGUCUGGCCGGACGUGCGUCCGUCUGUGCUUCCAUCUGUCUGUGCCUCCGGCCGGCCAGCUGUCCAUCCGUGUGUGCGUGCCCACGUCCUUGUGUGCAUGCCUGCGUCUGUCUGUCCAUUCGUCCGUCCGUCUGUGCGUCAGUCCGUGCCUACGUCCAGCUGGGCCAUGUCUGUGCGUCCGUGCGUCUGUCAGUCUGUUUGCUCGCAAAAACAAAAAAAACAGUAGGGGGUCUACCAAAAAAAUGGAGUGAUUUUUGAGUGUGUGUGUGUCUGUAUUUGGUCUCCUAUAGAAUUGACUUAAGAUACUGCUGAUGGUGUUCAAAGCAUUAAAUAGUCGUCGUCCCUGUUACAUCUCUGAUAUGCUCUCUUUUUAUGCCCCUGCCCGAGCUCUCAGAUCCGCUGAUGCCACGCUGCUAAGGAUUCCUACCCUUCCACCAAAGAAAAUUGGUGAAGCCGCCUUCGAUAUGUACGCGCCCAAGAGAUAGAACUCUGCCUCUUGACAUCAGAGACACUACCUCCAUCAACUGGCACAACUCUUUACCCUCGCCUAUUCUCAGCUGCUCAGGCCCUACAGGCUCAACAUGUCGUGCCCUGAUGUGCAAAAUCUGUAGUUAUCUCUCUUCCUUUUAAUCCGUGCGUGAUUACAAAGCGUGUGUGUGUGUGUGUGUGUGUGUGUGUGUGUGUGUGUGU